Molecule: ribosomal RNA, 393 nt
Filed under: uncultured bacterium
Lineage: Bacteria
Description: partial 16S ribosomal RNA
Rfam family: Bacterial small subunit ribosomal RNA
Source: RNAcentral
AUACGGAGGAUGCGAGCGUUAUCCGGAUUUAUUGGGUUUAAAGGGAGCGCAGGCGGAGAUGCAAGCGUGCCGUCAAAUUUCGGGGCUCAACCCCGUCUCGCGGCGCGAACUGCGUCCCUUGGUUGCGGGAAGGGGCGGCGGAAAUCGUGGGGUUGGGGGGAAAUGCAUGGAAAUCACGAAGAACUCCGAUCGCGAAGGCAGCCUUCCGGCCCGUCAACGACGCUCAUGCUCGAAGGUGCGGGUAUCAAACAGGAUUAGAUACCCUGGUAGUCCGCACAGUAAACGAUGGACACCCGCGGUUUGGCCUGUAUGGCUGAGCCGCCAAGCGAAAGCGUUAAGUGUCCCACCUGGGGAGUACGCCGGCAACGGUGAAACUCAAAUGAAUUGACGGGG